RNAcentral lists this ribosomal RNA (407 nucleotides) under uncultured prokaryote. RNAcentral's name for it is "bacterial SSU rRNA". It matches the Rfam family "Bacterial small subunit ribosomal RNA", at positions 355 to 776 of the family's 1533-position model. The record is from RNAcentral.
UGGGGAAUAUUGGGCAAUGGGCGAAAGCCUGACCCAGCAACGCCGCGUGAAGGAAGAAGGUUUUCGGAUUGUAAACUUCUGUCCUCAGGGAAGAAGGAAGUGACGGUACCUGAGGAGGAAGCCCCGGCUAACUACGUGCCAGCAGCCGCGGUAAUACGUAGGGGGCGAGCGUUGUCCGGAAUUACUGGGCGUAAAGGGCGUGUAGGCGGCCUUUUAAGUCAGAUGUGAAAUCUCAGGGCUUAACCCUGAAACUGCAUUUGAAACUGGAGGGCUUGAGGAUCGGAGAGGGCAGUGGAAUUCCCAGUGUAGCGGUGAAAUGCGUAGAUAUUGGGAGGAACACCAGUGGCGAAGGCGACUGCCUGGACGACACCUGACGCUGAGGCGCGAAAGCUAGGGGAGCGAACGGG